Molecule: ribosomal RNA, 401 nt
Filed under: uncultured bacterium
Lineage: Bacteria
Description: bacterial SSU rRNA
Rfam family: Bacterial small subunit ribosomal RNA
Source: RNAcentral
AUUGAACGCUGGCGGCAUGCCCUACACAUGCAAGUCGAACGGCAGCACGGGAGCAAUCCUGGUGGCGAGUGGCGAACGGGUGAGUAAUAUAUCGGAACGUGCCCAGUCGUGGGGGAUAACGUAGCGAAAGCUACGCUAAUACCGCAUACUAUCUAUGGAUGAAAGCGGGGGAUCGCAAGACCUCGCGCGAUUGGAGCGGCCGAUAUCAGAUUAGGUAGUUGGUGAGGUAAAGGCUCACCAAGCCGACGAUCUGUAGCUGGUCUGAGAGGACGACCAGCCACACUGGGACUGAGACACGGCCCAGACUCCUACGGGAGGCAGCAGUGGGGAAUUUUUGGGACAAUGGGCGCAAGCCUGAUCCAGCAAUGCCGCGUGCAGGAUGAAGGCCUCGGUUGUAACGU